Molecule: RNA transcript, 1287 nt
Organism: Photinus pyralis (common eastern firefly)
Lineage: Eukaryota; Metazoa; Arthropoda; Insecta; Coleoptera; Lampyridae
Exons: 3
Source: RefSeq, a predicted model, not a curated record
GCGCACCUAAAAUUACCAUAGUGUGUCAGAUGCCAUUUGUGUAAUUCCCAUGUAAUAAAUUAGCAGCUUGAGUAUGAUAAGUAACCAAUUCUUUUAAAACGGCUUCCGUGAACUAAGUUCCGUACCAACGCAAAAGCUGUAUAUACUCGUGGCAAUGAAGUUUCUUAUAAUAAUGCUACUUCUCGUUUUUGCGCAACAACGUUGCAGUUCGAAAAUCAUCAGCGAUUGGGAAAUCGGUCUGGAGAAGUACUCGAUGAAAUGCGCCAAUGAGACAAAUCUGGAUCCUACGAUUUCCAAACGAAUAUUAAGGGAAUUCUAUAUGCCGGACGAACGAAAUUUUCAGUGUUUUUUAAAAUGCAUAAUGGAAAAUUCGGGCGUGUUGAAAUCAAGUCACGAGGUGGACAUCCAAGAGCUUAUUGAGGUAGUACACAUUACUCCUGAAAUUGCACGGAUGUGCGUAGCAGAAAGCGACGUUGAAAAAAAUGAGUGCAGAAAAAUGUACCUGAUUGCCUUAUGCAGUAUGAGAAGGCUUCUGUGAAUGAUUAACUGUGACAAUUGACUUUAUUGUAUAUCAAUAUGUUAAAGUACGGUCUUAUGACAUGUUCUUACACGGCAAAUACCGUGUACAUUUAGUUACAGUAGUAAACCGGGUAAAGGAAUCAGAUGCAUUGGAGAAGGGUGCCCAAAGUAAAAAUCAACAAAAUGGGGAUGCCGGAAGCUGUAGGUAAAGGUUAUAACUCCUAGACAAUUAAGGGACUGUUCAGACAAUCAGAAAUUUCCAUUUAGUUCCGGAGAUAUUAGAAGAAGUUGUAAAUCGGCAUAUGCAAUAGUGCAUUUUUGGUGAUACAUAUGGAAUAUAGAAAGAAAACCGCCCGCGCAACUUCUUAAAAAAAUAACUUUAUCCUUUUCAGAGCGCUUUCCCUUAUACUGAAUAUAAUUACUGUUCAUUCUUUGAAGCCAUUUGUCAAUACACUAAGAAAACUUAGUUUAAGUUCAUUGUUCUUCACCGGUUCAUGAUUUACUUGCAGAUGCGAGCGGUUACAGUCGAUUGGGAAAAUUAUCACAUUCCACAAUUUGACUUGUGCAUAAGAUACCGGCGUGGAUCCUUUGAUUCGGAGGGUGGUGUUCAGGCAACAAAUUUUCCAGACCAAAAAGUUUUCACUGCUAUACAAUUUUUCCCGAAAUCGUCUUUUGUAAUAUAAAAUUCAAUUUUCAUGUAGUAAUUAACUUAAUAUCAAUGUGGCAGGGGUCAUUAGACAUUACCAAUGUGAUGCGAUUUGAUACAUC